UCCCCUGUAGCUCAGCGGUAGAGCGGAUGACUGUUAAUCAUUAGGUCGUUGGUUCGAGCCCAACCGGGGGAGCCA
Molecule: transfer RNA, 75 nt
Filed under: Akkermansia sp.
Lineage: Bacteria; Pseudomonadati; Verrucomicrobiota; Verrucomicrobiia; Verrucomicrobiales; Akkermansiaceae
Description: tRNA-Asn
Rfam family: tRNA
About the family: Transfer RNA (tRNA) molecules are approximately 80 nucleotides in length.
Source: RNAcentral